UAAUAUCUUAUUUGCCGAUAGGCAAUUCCCUCUGGGGUUGCAACCCCACCGGAAUUGUCUCACGCCGCGAAUUCAACACUUCCCGUUGCUGUCUAUUUUUUUCCGAUAGGUUUUCUGUGACAGCUCGUUUGCCGCAUGUAUAGGGUUUAUCAUGUAAUCGUGUGAGAGCCUUUCCAUUCCACCUGUGCUUGACGUUAUGCUUGCGGGUUGCGUAUCUAUCCGGAGCCCAUCUUCAAUUGAUUUGUCUCUGCUGGAGUUUCAUUGAAAGCAGGUUCAAGGGCAUCAUAAUCCACAGUUUCUUUUUUGUAGUUCCAUCGAAAUCAGGUUGGGACGAGGCUGCACAAGGUUGUGGAAUCUGGCUUUACACCUGUCAGCUGCAUUUUCUGAAAAGUCUCUAAGGCCUUUUGAAAAAUUCUAUUCUAUCCAUAUCCUGUAAUCACCACAACAGUUUGAAUGCCUUGUACAUGCUUCCGCAUUUUGCAUACAUGUCAACCGAUGCACUUCCAACUAUAACAUCUAAAAAUACUCUUUUAAUUAUGUUUUGAUGGAUUACUGUACCCAGUUCCAAAACUCCAAAUUGAACAGAGGCUAGCAGAAUGGUUGUAAAGGUUGAGGAGUUUGGCUUUACACAAACCCCUUUCUUUUUCUUAAAAGUUUGUAAGGCUUUUUCAAUGAAUGCAUAAAGACAGCAUUCAGUUUCA
This is a long non-coding RNA of Cryptomeria japonica (Japanese cedar), 701 nucleotides long. RefSeq lists it as uncharacterized. The transcript is spliced from 3 exons. NCBI's taxonomy places the organism in Eukaryota, Viridiplantae, Streptophyta, Pinopsida, Cupressales, Cupressaceae. The record is from RefSeq and is a predicted model, not a curated record.